This 333-nucleotide long non-coding RNA is filed under the name Panicum hallii. RNAcentral's name for it is "long non-coding RNA (PHAL_LNC000620)". Lineage: Eukaryota; Viridiplantae; Streptophyta; Magnoliopsida; Poales; Poaceae. The record is from RNAcentral.
GCGAGCAGGCAGCCAACAGGCGGUUUUUUUUUUUGGCGAGAACGGCAUCACCGCCGGUUCUCGGCCCGUUGGUGAUGUCUCAACCCAUCACCAAUGAUCUUAAUCCAACGGGCCUUCGAACCGGCGCGAUAUCGUUUGACCCGCGGUCUCUAGUAUUGUAUGUAUCUGUGAAUCUGACGCAAACCCGGGGCGUGGGCCUAGCCCAAUAAACUUUCGGCCUGCCAGAGCACAAAGGAUUGCACAGCCCAUGUGCUGUCUUUUUUUUUAUUUUUGCAUUUUUUUCUUCUCAUUUGUUUUAAUAUUUUCUUUUCUUAUUUCUUUUCCAAUCCAGAU